This 301-nucleotide ribosomal RNA is filed under the name uncultured bacterium. RNAcentral describes it as "partial 16S ribosomal RNA". It matches the Rfam family "Bacterial small subunit ribosomal RNA", at positions 509 to 807 of the family's 1533-position model. The record is from RNAcentral.
CAGUAGCCGCGGGAAUACGGAGGGUGCAAGCGUUAUCCGGAUUUAUUGGGUUUAAAGGGUCCGUAGGCGGACUUAUAAGUCAGUGGUGAAAGCCUGUCGCUUAACGAUAGAACUACCAUUGAUACUGUAAGUCUUGAGUAUAUUUGAGGUAGCUGGAAUAAGUAGUGUAGCGGUGAAAUGCAUAGAUAUUACUUAGAACACCAAUUGCGAAGGCAGGUUACCAAGAUAUAACUGACGCUGAGGGACGAAAGCGUGGGUAGCGAACAGGAUUAGAUACCCCGGUAGUCCCUGUCUCUUAUAC